CCUACGGGGUGCAGCAGUGGGGAAUAUUGGGCAAUGGGCGCAGGCCUGACCCAGCAACGCCGCGUGAAGGAAGAAGGCUUUCGGGUUGUAAACUUCUUUUGACAGGGAAGAGUAGAAGACGGUACCUGUCGAAUAAGCCACGGCUAACUACGUGCCAGCAGCCGCGGUAAUACGUAGGUGGCAAGCGUUGUCCGGAUUUACUGGGUGUAAAGGGCGUGUAGCCGGGUUGACAAGUCAGAUGUGAAAUCCUGCGGCUUAACCGCAGAACUGCAUUUGAAACUGUUGAUCUUGAGUACUGGAGAGGCAGACGGAAUUCCUAGUGUAGCGGUGAAAUGCGUAGAUAUUAGGAGGAACACCAGUGGCGAAGGCAGUCUGCUGGACAGCAACUGACGGUGAGGCGCGAAAGCGUGGGGAGCAAACAGGAUUAGAUACCCGGGUAGUC
RNAcentral lists this ribosomal RNA (442 nucleotides) under uncultured bacterium. RNAcentral's name for it is "partial 16S ribosomal RNA". It matches the Rfam family "Bacterial small subunit ribosomal RNA", at positions 338 to 795 of the family's 1533-position model. The record is from RNAcentral.